RNAcentral lists this ribosomal RNA (428 nucleotides) under uncultured bacterium. RNAcentral describes it as "partial 16S ribosomal RNA". It matches the Rfam family "Bacterial small subunit ribosomal RNA", at positions 33 to 507 of the family's 1533-position model. The record is from RNAcentral.
ACGCUGGCGGCAUGCCUAACACAUGCCAGUCGAACGCGACCUUCGGGUCUAGUGGCGCACGGGUGCGUAACGCGUGGGAACCUGCCCUUAGGUUCGGAAUAACUCCCCGAAAGGGGUGCUAAUACCGGAUAAUGUCUUCGGACCAAAGAUUUAUCGCCUUUGGAUGGGCCCGCGUUGGAUUAGCUAGUUGGUAGGGUAAAAGCCUACCAAGGCGACGAUCCAUAGCUGGUCUGAGAGGAUGAUCAGCCACACUGGGACUGAGACACGGCCCAGACUCCUACGGGAGGCAGCAGUGGGGAAUAUUGGACAAUGGGCGAAAGCCUGAUCCAGCAAUGCCGCGUGAGUGAUGAAGGCCUUAGGGUUGUAAAGCUCUUUUACCCGGGAUGAUAAUGACAGUACCGGGAGAAUAAGCUCCGGCUAACUCCGUG